RNAcentral lists this microRNA (22 nucleotides) under Homo sapiens (human). RNAcentral's name for it is "hsa-miR-6818-5p". The record is from miRBase by way of RNAcentral. Lineage: Eukaryota; Metazoa; Chordata; Mammalia; Primates; Hominidae.
UUGUGUGAGUACAGAGAGCAUC